Molecule: ribosomal RNA, 465 nt
Filed under: uncultured bacterium
Lineage: Bacteria
Description: bacterial SSU rRNA
Rfam family: Bacterial small subunit ribosomal RNA
Source: RNAcentral
GUCCAGACUCCUACGGGAGGCAGCAGUAGGGAAUUUUGCGCAAUGGGGGAAACCCUGAUGCAGCGACGCCGCGUGAGUGAAGAAGUAUUUCGGUAUGUAAAGCUCUAUCAGCAGGGAAGAAAUAGCGACCUUUGGGUCGCCAGACGGUACCUGACUAAGAAGCCCCGGCUAACUACGUGCCAGCAGCCGCGGUAAUACGUAGGGGGCAAGCGUUAUCCGGAUUUACUGGGUGUAAAGGGAGCGUAGACGGUGAUGCAAGUCUGGAGUGAAAGGCGGGGGCCCAACCCCCGGACUGCUCUGGAAACUGUGUAACUUGAGUGCAGGAGAGGUAAGCGGAAUUCCUAGUGUAGCGGUGAAAUGCGUAGAUAUUAGGAGGAACACCAGUGGCGAAGGCGGCUUACUGGACUGAAACUGACGCUGAGGCACGAAAGCGUGGGGAGCGAACAGGAUUAGAUACCCCGGUAG